GAUGAAGAACGUAGUGAAAUGCGAUAAUUAAUGUGAAUUGCAGAAUUCAGUGAAUCAUCGAGUCUUUGAACGCACAUUGCGCCCCCUGGUAUUCCGGGGGGCAUGCCUGUCCGAGCGUCAUUGCUGCCCUCAAGCACGGCUUGUGUGUUGGGCUUCCGUCCCUGGCAACGGGGACGGGCCCAAAAGGCAGUGGCGGCACCAUGUCUGGUCCUCGAGCGUAUGGGGCUUUGUCACCCGCUCCCGUAGGUCCAGCUGGCAGCUAGCCUCGCAACCAAUCUUUUUAACCAGGUUGACCUCGGAUCAGGUAGGGAUACCCGCUGGACUUAAGCAUAUCAAUAAGCGGAGGA
This 347-nucleotide unclassified non-coding RNA is filed under the name soil metagenome. RNAcentral describes it as "partial contains 5.8S ribosomal RNA, internal transcribed spacer 2, and large subunit ribosomal RNA". The stretch from base 1 to 120 matches the Rfam family "5.8S ribosomal RNA", at positions 35 to 154 of the family's 154-position model. The record is from RNAcentral.